AUUGAACGCUGGCGGCAGGCCUAACUCAUGCAAGUCGAGCGGUAGAGAGAAGCUUGCUUCUCUUGAGAGCGGCGGACGGGUGAGUAAUGCCUAGGAAUCUGCCUGGUAGUGGGGGAUAACGUUCGGAAACGGACGCUAAUACCGCAUACGUCCUACGGGAGAAAGCAGGGGACCUUCGGGCCUUGCGCUAUCAGAUGAGCCUAGGUCGGAUUAGCUAGUUGGUGAGGUAAUGGCUCACCAAGGCGACGAUCCGUAACUGGUCUGAGAGGAUGAUCAGUCACACUGGAACUGAAACACCGUCCAGACUCCUACGGGAAGGCGCAGUGGGGAAAAUUGGAACAUGGGGCAAAGCCUGGAUCCACCCUGCCCCGUGUGUGAAAAAGGGCCUCCGAAUGUUAAGCACUUUUAGUUGGGAAGGAGGGCAGUAAAAUAAUACUUUGCCGGUUUUGCCUUUCCGACAGAAUAAACACCCGGUUAAUCUGUGGCCGCACCCCCGGGAAAAUAAAAGGUGCCAGCGGUUAUCCGAAAUAUUGGGGGUAAAACGCCCCCAAGGGGGUUGUUUAAUUGGAAGGGGAAAUCCCCGGGGUCUACCCGGGGAAAGGGUUUCCAAACUGUACUUACUAAAGAAUGGUGAGAGGGGGGGGGGGAAUUUUCUGUGUGUGCGGGGAAAUGCGCUAAAUAUAGGAAAGACACCCCCCGGGGGGGAAAGGGCGCCCCCCCCGGGACUAAUAAUUGACACCGAGGGGCGGAAAAACUGGGGGGCGCAACAAGGAUUUAAUACCCCCGGGAGUCCACCCCCCCUAACAAAUUUUAACUAUCCCCUUGGAAACCCCUAGGCUUUUUUUGGGGCCCGCCCUACCCCCUUUUUUUUAUCCCCCCCUGGGGAGAACGGCCCCCCCAGGGUAAAAAACCCAAAAAGAAAUGGCGGGGGCCCCCCACAAGGGUGGGACCAUGUGGUUAAUUUGAAACCAACGGGAAGACCUUACCCAGCCCUGGACUUCCAAUGAACUUUUUGGAGAAGAAUGGGGCCCUUCGGGACCAUGAAACCAGUGGUGGCAGGGCGGUCGUCAGCUCGGGGUCGUGGGAUGUGGGGUUAAGUCCCGUAACGAGGGCAAACCCUUGUCCUUAGUACCCAGCACGUAAUGGUGGGCACUCUAAGGAGACUGCCGGUGACAAACCGGAGGAAGGUGGGGAUGACGUCAAGUCAUCAUGGCCCUUACGGCCUGGGCUACACACGUGCUACAAUGGUCGGUACAGAGGGUUGCCAAGCCGCGAGGUGGAGCUAAUCCCACAAAACCGAUCGUAGUCCGGAUCGCAGUCUGCAACUCGACUGCGUGAAGUCGGAAUCGCUAGUAAUCGCGAAUCAGAAUGUCGCGGUGAAUACGUUCCCGGGCCU
RNAcentral lists this ribosomal RNA (1396 nucleotides) under uncultured bacterium. RNAcentral's name for it is "partial 16S ribosomal RNA". It matches the Rfam family "Bacterial small subunit ribosomal RNA", at positions 28 to 1381 of the family's 1533-position model. The record is from RNAcentral.